AGGGUUGAGGGCUGCAGUAGCUCGCAAGAACUCAUCUCACUUUGUCUUUUUCAAAUACGGUAAAGUCAUAUAAAGACAGUAGUUAAGCUAGUCAAAUUUUGCGAUGUAACGGCAAGGCUGUCCAUUUUCAUGCUUGCUGCUGUAAUAUUUUCCAAAUCUUUCAACCUUUCCCAGACGUCUGCACAAACACUCCGCCUUAAAUCUGUAUAAAUCUACCAGAUUAUAUUCGUUUUUGUAUUGAGUUCGAUGAGAUUCCAACUCACUUGCUACGGCAAAUUAUAAAGAUUUAUGUAUUUUCAACACAAUUUGUAGAUUUAAACAAAAACUGCGUUUCUUUUAGAGGCGGGGAGUAAUUCUAAUUUAAUUAUAAUAUCAUUAAAAUAUUUCGGCUGAUAAAUAGAGACCGAAACUGGCAACUUUGCAGCCCAAGAUGAUAUAAGAGUUCAGUUGACGCUAAAUACUGAUGAGGCAACUACGUUAUGAGAUACUAAGUUCAACAUCGGGGUAUCGCUUACCACCGUAUCGGUGUACAACAUAACAAAGGGUAGCUGCUUUAAAACUGAUUUAAAAAAGUAAAUUAGAAGCAUCUUACCGGCGGGGAAGAGCGACAGAAACACGGCGAGGACUCUGCACACGUCAAGCGCCGACGGUCUUCCUCUUUUCCCCAUAACCAUCCAUCCAGCUCGGGCUCGCACUUCACUCCUCUCCCUGGUCAAACCGGAUUAAGGCAGGAUAAAGAAGAGUUAGAGCCACCGAGUCCUCGUUGACAAAACACAGAAAGUCCAUAAAAGAGGCCUGGAGUGGGUCGCGUCUUCUCAUCACUGUGUUAUCUGGUGACGCCUUUUGACUGCAGAACAUUCAGAUGAAGACUGAGAGAUUCAGAUGGAUUACCUGAUGUUACAAUCUUCCACAGCGAAUUUCUUUCUGCCUCAAUUCAGUUAGUUUGUUCCUCCAACUGUAAAUCUGACCACACGGCGGCGGCAGGGCAGCAUCACAUCUGAUGAUUACAAUCCAGAAAAUCGAUCUCCUCCACAUCGGAGCAGCUCCAACUGAAACGCGCAGAGCAGCGAGCAAUGAAAGCACAUCAAACACACGUGGAGCCAACAGUGUGCUACAUGUACAGUGUGACGUCAGCAUGCAACCACUACACACACACACACACACACACAUUGUGUUGUUUGGCAUCUUUCUGGUCAUGCUGUGAAAGUAUAUAUAGUAUAUAUAGAUGUAUAUAUACUGUACACUCACAAUUGUUCUGAUAAGUUACUGCAUAUAUAACACACAUAGACACAUAUGUAUAGACAUGACCAAAAACUGUUUUAUCUGUUGUUUUUAGCUGUGCUAGUAGCAUAACUGCUAUGUCUCAUCAUCACCAAACUUUAAUUUGUUCAAUGCUUUCUGAGCAAAUAUCUGCCAAAAUGACCUUCUGUUGCCGUAGUUAGCAAAUAUUAGCAUGCUAAGACACUUAACACAGACAGAGAACAUAGUGAACUGUUCAUAUUGCUAAAUAUUAAAGUCUGCAGGCUAUAAAGCAUGUUAGCAUAAUGAUAUUAGCAUUAGCUUAAAGCUCUGCUGUGCCCCAGUAAAGUCUUGAAGAGCCGCUAGCUUGAAGAGCUUGUUAUGCUAAAU
Molecule: long non-coding RNA, 1629 nt
Organism: Scatophagus argus
Lineage: Eukaryota; Metazoa; Chordata; Actinopteri; Scatophagidae
Exons: 4
Source: RefSeq, a predicted model, not a curated record